This is a non-coding RNA of Urocitellus parryii (Arctic ground squirrel), 70 nucleotides long. NCBI's taxonomy places the organism in Eukaryota, Metazoa, Chordata, Mammalia, Rodentia, Sciuridae. The record is from RefSeq and is a predicted model, not a curated record.
AAUAUGAAAUAMAUGAUAAAAGUUUGGCUCUUUCUUCUUGUACAGAUAUAGUUCACUUGAACUUCAUAUU